This 24-nucleotide non-coding RNA is filed under the name Arabidopsis thaliana (thale cress). The record is from RNAcentral. Lineage: Eukaryota; Viridiplantae; Streptophyta; Magnoliopsida; Brassicales; Brassicaceae.
AUCGAGUAGGAGGGGCGAGUAGAU